UGGCCGUAAACGAUGUGGACUUGGUGUUGGAAUGGCUCCGAGCUGCUCCAGUGCCGAAGGGAAGCUGUUAAGUCCACCGCCUGGGAAGUACGGUCGCAAGGCUGAAACUUAAAGGAAUUGGCGGGGGGAGCACCACAACGGGUGGAGCCUGCGGUUUAAUUGGACUCAACGCCGGGAAGCUCACCGGAUAAGACAGCGGAAUGAUUGCCGGGCUGAAGACCCUGCAUGACCAGCUGAGAGGUGGUGCAUGGCGUAGUCGUGU
This 262-nucleotide ribosomal RNA is filed under the name uncultured archaeon. RNAcentral's name for it is "partial 16S ribosomal RNA". It matches the Rfam family "Archaeal small subunit ribosomal RNA", at positions 748 to 1009 of the family's 1478-position model. The record is from RNAcentral.